RNAcentral lists this long non-coding RNA (295 nucleotides) under Brassica napus (rape). RNAcentral describes it as "long non-coding RNA (BNAP_LNC026480)". Lineage: Eukaryota; Viridiplantae; Streptophyta; Magnoliopsida; Brassicales; Brassicaceae. The record is from RNAcentral.
ACUAAAAUGACCAAAAUGCUAUUUUAUCUUUUGAAAAAUUUAAAUUUUUUUUUUUUCAAAGUUUGAAAUUAUAUCCCAAAACUUCACUCCCCAACUCUAAACCCUAAACCCUAAACCCUAAACCCUAAAUCAUAAACCCCACUCCUUAACUCUAAACCGUAAACUCUAAACCCUAAACCCUAAACCCUAAACCCUAAACCCUAAAUUCUAAACCCUAAACCCUAAACCCUAAACCCUAAAUUCUAAACCCUAAACCCUAAACUCCACCCCUUAACUCUAAACUCUAAUGUCUAAA